Long non-coding RNA from Triticum aestivum (bread wheat), 2981 nucleotides. RefSeq lists it as uncharacterized. The record is from RefSeq and is a predicted model, not a curated record. The transcript has 4 exons. Lineage: Eukaryota; Viridiplantae; Streptophyta; Magnoliopsida; Poales; Poaceae.
CGCCCGCACCCAACACAACCCAAUCCCCUCGUCCCGCACGCCGUGCACACUCCGGUCCCCUCAUCCCGCAUGAACCCUAGGGAGAGAGAGAUAGGAAGAUGAGAGGGAGAGAAAGGGGAGAGGAGAGGAGAGGGAGGCCCGGCAGCGGACGGGAGAGGGUGACCGGCGAGGCGUCGGCCUGCGCCCCUCCUCGCGCACGAACCCUAGCUGAGAGACAAAAUGAGGGGGAGAGAGAGAAGGAAGGAGAGGAGGGAGAAAGAGAGAGGAAAGAGGAAAGGGAGGUGCGGCGGCUGACAGGAGAGAGGGUCAUCGGCCGGCGCCGGAGAGGACGGGCCCGACCUGGACGCGACCUGGAGGUUGGCGGUGGCUCGAUCCACUCCUGGGUCGGGAGCUGCGACGAGGCUGGGGCUCGGGCGCGUUGUACGGGAGGAUGUACUCCGCCUCUUCCUCAUGGUGCGGCGGACGGCGACUCUCCCUCUUCUCUGUCGUCGGCGGCCAGCUCAUCCCACUGCCUCGUGCUCGCCGCUGACCACGGAUCCGCCAUGGACGGAGGGUAUCAAGAGGGGAAGAGGGGAAGGACGUCUUCGCCUUCGCAAGCAGCACUGGCGGACGAGCACACACGCAUGUCCUCUUCCUGAUGGAAGGCAACUCGAGCAUGGGAGUAGUGGCCAAGGCUGGGCACCAUGGGUUGGCCGAGGUGCUUCAUGGCGAGGAACAGGUGCGCCAUCUUCCAAUCCGUCCACAAUUUGAAGCAGCCAGGCAGGGAGGACCAAGAAAACAUAGAUCUGUGAAAGAAGAGAUGAAGAACAAUUUUAGCUGAAGAGUUGAAGAAGACCAAGGUGAAUUUUAUCCCUCUUGCGAAUCCAAUCAAGUUUGCGCUUGCAUUUUGGUGAUAUGGUUUGUGUUGGACCAUGUUCUCUAGCUAUCAAUGGACUUUCCAAAGUAGUUUUGCUGAUUUGUUGUUAUGGAUUUCAUGUUAUGCAGACUAUUUUGCUUAGAGAUGGGCAUGCGCGACUCCUUAUUUGUUUGCAGCGUCGUAUAGGAUAAUAUGAGAUUGCUAUUUUGCUGCUUGGGAACACAUUUUGAGAUAACAUCAGCUCUGUUCUAACUAGCCAUUGUGCUAUCCUCUUUUUUUGGGGGGUUGCAAAUUCCUUGCCUUUCUAUUCUCGUAUUUGCAAUCAAUGUACAAUGCUCUAUAUUUUUACUUGAUGAUGUACAGUUGUUGAUACUUUUUGUUGAGAACAGGCUCUUGUGAGUACAAGUAAAAAAAUAUAUUAAAUGUGAUCGUUGUAUGGACUGUGCACCUGUUCCAUGUGACAACUAAAAUUUGUUGUGUUUCCCCGUCGGUUAAGCUUUUCACUCGAUUACUGUAUGGGUGAUUCAAUCUUAUUUGCUUGUUAUAUGGUUUGGGUAUUCAUGGUUCAUAGGAGGGGGUUUAUAAGGGAAUCAAGAGCUUUUUUUUAACAGCAUGUACAAAAGGUUCAGCAAGUGGGACUCAAGUCUGCAACCACAAUAGAAGUAAGGCCAUGGAGCAAGAGUUCUGUUGGGCAUCCUUUGCAUUUAUCUUGCCAGGUUCCAUGCUUCAUAGCAUGUGUGUAAGCAUAUCAAUACACACAUACACUGCGGUUCGUAACGCCAUUUAAUAGGGGAUGCAUUAGGGUACUUUAUUUCCAUUAUAAACUGAUAAUAAUUAUGAAUUUAGUAAGGUAACAAUAAUAUGGGUUAUAGCAGAAUAUUAGAUGUGGUAUGCUUGUAUGAGUAGAAUGCAGAGUUUAUAAAUGAACUAAAAUCUGAGAACAGGAAGUGGUAGGUUUAAUUUCAGUUAGAAAAUUAGGUGUACUGCAGUAUCAUAUAUUCAGGUAAUCCUUUGCAUUUUUUUUGCCAUGUUCAGGCUUUAUACAUCGUUUGUAUAUGCAUAAAGUACGCCACAUAAACUGGAGUUUGUAGUGUCAGGAGUAAGAGGGGUGCAACUAAGUAGUAGCAUGUUACAGGAUAAGAGCAACUGUUUAGUUUAACUCCAAAGAGGUCAGAUGAAAUGAAUUUUUGAUAUAUCUGAACUCUAGAGCAUAAGAUGCAUCUUUCUACUCUUCCUGAGAUCACGGUUAUUGUGGGAAGUUUUAUCUCUUCCCUACAGUCAAAGCUCAUGUGCAAUUUGGAAAAAAAUGCAAACAUGCUAUCGCUGCAUUUGACAAUUCCUUUUAGGUGAAAAAACCUGGCUUUGUUUUGUUCCUUUUUGUUCUCUGUUUAUUACUGUUUAUUGCUCAGAGUGAUUGUUCCCAAAGUAGUCUUUAACAAUUAAUCAUUUGCAGGUAUCUAACCAAUAGCGGCUUACGUUUCCUGGUCAUUUUUCUUUUGGAAAUGGAUGUUGUUGCUUCCUAGGUGAGCUGAGGUGAUAACUCCCUUCUGGCGCUGGGCCUACGUGUUCAACGCUGCCCUCACCAUCCCCUUCUUCCAUUGGCUCAUCGGCCCGUCAGAGUUCAGAGACCUAAUACUCCGCACUGCCUCCCGUCCAUUUUCAGAUAUAUAUAUUUAUAUAAGGUUUAUCAUCACCCCAUGGAUCAUGUGUUGUUGAUUGACCAGGUUAUUGAGGUGGAGGUCAAUAGGGUGAGGCAGAGAAGUGGAGUGCUCAUAAAGAAACGAAGCUGCUGCCUGGACUUGCCGCUGCCGCCGCCUCCAGUCGCUUCCGCCUUAGGCAUCCCGUCACUAGCAAGCGGGUCUCUGCCAUUUGGCGCAACGGGUCCAUGAGGAAAAGGCGGUCUAUUGCUAGCUUAUUUGAAAAGCGCCAACAAUGUGUGCCACAUGUAAACAGUCCAUGUUCAAAGAAUAGAAGCACAAGUGUGGAGAUAAUGUAAUUGGUUAGUCAUGAAAUUCAGUCUCAAUGAGCUCAACUAAUGACAUGUGUGGGUUGAGCCUGAGGUCAUUUCCAAAGUAACGGAAGUAUUUUACUUUCCUUUUCAUGUCAAUGGUCGAUGGUACUUACA